UCAUUUGUCGGCUGUUCUUCUUAGAGGGAUAAGCGGCUUUUAGCCGCAUGAGAUUGAGCAAUAACAGGUCUGUGAUGCCCUUAGAUGUCCGGGACCGCACGCGCGCUACACUGAUGUUAUCAGCUUGUUUCUCCCCUUGUCCGAGAGGACCGGGUAAUCCGCUGAACCACCUUCGUGAUAGGGAUCGGGGUUUGAAAUUAUCCCCCGUGAACGAGGAAUUCCCAGUAA
This 228-nucleotide ribosomal RNA is filed under the name Polyxenus lagurus (bristly millipede). Its description in RNAcentral is "partial 18S ribosomal RNA". It matches the Rfam family "Eukaryotic small subunit ribosomal RNA", at positions 1391 to 1620 of the family's 1831-position model. Lineage: Eukaryota; Metazoa; Arthropoda; Diplopoda; Polyxenida; Polyxenidae. The record is from RNAcentral.